RNAcentral lists this ribosomal RNA (446 nucleotides) under uncultured bacterium. RNAcentral describes it as "partial 16S ribosomal RNA". It matches the Rfam family "Bacterial small subunit ribosomal RNA", at positions 338 to 795 of the family's 1533-position model. The record is from RNAcentral.
CCUACGGGCGGCAGCAGUCGAGAAUCAUUCACAAUGGGGGAAACCCUGAUGGUGCGACGCCGCGUGGGGGAAUGAAGGUCUUCGGAUUGUAAACCCCUGUCAUGUGGGAGCAAAUUAAAAAGAUAGUACCACAAGAGGAAGAGACGGCUAACUCUGUGCCAGCAGCCGCGGUAAUACAGAGGUCUCAAGCGUUGUUCGGAAUCACUGGGCGUAAAGCGUGCGUAGGCUGUUUCGUAAGUCGUGUGUGAAAGGCGCGGGCUCAACCCGCGGACGGCACAUGAUACUGCGAGACUAGAGUAAUGGAGGGGGAACCGGAAUUCUAGGUGGAGCAGUGAAAUGCGGAGAUAUCGAGAGGAACACUCGUGGCGAAGGCGGGUUCCUGGACAUUAACUGACGCUGAGGCACGAAGGCCAGGGGAGCGAAAGGGAUUAGAUACCCCUGUAGUC